This 254-nucleotide ribosomal RNA is filed under the name uncultured bacterium. RNAcentral describes it as "partial 16S ribosomal RNA". It matches the Rfam family "Bacterial small subunit ribosomal RNA", at positions 524 to 776 of the family's 1533-position model. The record is from RNAcentral.
UACGGGGGGGGCAAGCGUUGUUCGGAAUUACUGGGCGUAAAGGGCUCGUAGGCGGCCAACUAAGUCAGACGUGAAAUCCCUCGGCUUAACCGGGGAACUGCCUCUGAUACUGGAUGGCUUGAGAUUGGGAGAGGGAUGCGGAAUUCCAGGUGUAGCGGUGAAAUGCGUAGAUAUCUGGAGGAACACCGGUGGCGAAGGCGGCAUCCUGGACCAACACUGACGCUGAGUGAGCGAAAGCCAGGGGAGCAAACGGG